RNAcentral lists this ribosomal RNA (506 nucleotides) under uncultured bacterium. RNAcentral describes it as "partial 16S ribosomal RNA". It matches the Rfam family "Bacterial small subunit ribosomal RNA", at positions 29 to 523 of the family's 1533-position model. The record is from RNAcentral.
AGUGAACGCUGGCGGUAGGCCUAACACAUGCAAGUCGAACGGCAGCACAGGAGAGCUUGCUCUCUGGGUGGCGAGUGGCGGACGGGUGAGGAAUACAUCGGAAUCUACUCUGUCGUGGGGGAUAACGUAGGGAAACUUACGCUAAUACCGCAUACGACCUACGGGUGAAAGCAGGGGAUCUUCGGACCUUGCGUGGUUGAAUGAGCCGAUGUCGGAUUAGCUAGUUGGCGGGGUAAAGGCCCACCAAGGCGACGAUCCGUAGCUGGUCUGGAAGGAUGAUCAGCCACACUGGAACUGAGACACGGUCCAGACUCCUACGGGAGGCAGCAGUGGGGAAUAUUGGACAAUGGGCGCAAGCCUGAUCCAGCCAUCCCGCGUGGGUGAAGAAGGCCUUCGGGUUGUAAAGCCCUUUUGUUGGGAAAGAAAUCCAGCUGGCUAAUACCCGGUUGGGAUGACGGUACCCAAAGAAUAAGCACCGGCUAACUUCGUGCCAGCCGCCGCAGUAA